UUGCCCUAGUAACGGCGAGUGAAGCGGCAACAGCUCAAAUUUGAAAGCUAGCCUUCGGGUUCGCAUUGUAAUUUGUAGAGGAUGAUUUGGGGAAGCCGCCUGUCUAAGUUCCUUGGAACAGGACGUCAUAGAGGGUGAGAAUCCCGUAUGUGACAGGAAAUGGCACCCUAUGUAAAUCUCCUUCGACGAGUCGAGUUGUUUGGGAAUGCAGCUCUAAAUGGGAGGUAAAUUUCUUCUAAAGCUAAAUAUUGGCGAGAGACCGAUAGCGCACAAGUAGAGUGAUCGAAAGAUGAAAAGCACUUUGGAAAGAGAGUUAAAAAGCACGUGAAAUUGUUGAAAGGGAAGCGCUUGCAAUCAGACUUGUUUAAACUGUUCGGCCGGUCUUCUGACCGGUUUACUCAGUUUGGACAGGCCAGCAUCAGUUUCGGCGGCCGGAUAAAGGCUCUGGGAAUGUGGCCUCCACUUCGGUGGAGGUGUUAUAGCCCAGGGUGUAAUACGGCCAGCCGGGACUGAGGUCCGCGCUCGGCUAGGAUGCUGCGUAA
Molecule: ribosomal RNA, 542 nt
Filed under: Aureobasidium pullulans
Lineage: Eukaryota; Fungi; Ascomycota; Dothideomycetes; Dothideales; Saccotheciaceae
Description: partial large subunit ribosomal RNA
Rfam family: Eukaryotic large subunit ribosomal RNA
Source: RNAcentral